UUUGUAUUAUUCUAAGAUAAAGAUUUUUCACUUUCUAUGAAAAGAUACAUGUAUGAUGUAUAUACCAGA
This 69-nucleotide transfer RNA is filed under the name Coloceras sp. SLC-2011. RNAcentral describes it as "tRNA-Glu". Lineage: Eukaryota; Metazoa; Arthropoda; Insecta; Psocodea; Philopteridae. The record is from RNAcentral.